AUGGCGAGUCUGAUUGCAUUUGCUGAUAGCGGCUUAGGAGGCUUAGCUUUGAUCUUGACUUUCCCCCGGUUAGCCGAUUUCUGGCGGGGCGCUGCGGGGAGGUGUUACGAGAGAUUUAUUAACAAGAUAAAGCGCAACGCCAGGAAAAGCUGCUCCGGCAAAACGCGCUCCCCCCCUCACGCACGCACAGACAUAAAUCCAGCCCCUGCUCGACUACGCUCAGCAUCUCUCCUCCUCGGGGGACUCGAGCAGACCGGCUCUUCCCCUCUCCGUGUGCUGCUGGAGCUUCACAGGUGCAGGGGGAAGCUGCUGCAGCCCCCCUGCCCAGCUCAUCCGACAAAACCCAACGUGCAUCCAUCUCCCCAGCCAGGCAUCCAGGGCAGAAAAAACUGGGGUAACUCCAUGGCACAGCCUCUCCCAGCCUCAACUUCUCCCAUCUGCUUUUGCAAUCAGCCCCCAGAGCCCAGCUCGCCCCAAGCCCCCUUCCAGGAGCUGGGGGCACGCACACAGCCCUUUAUAGGGGUUACGCUGCUGGCCCCUUGCACAAAAACCAGCCUGGAGAGAGCUGCUGAAGCCAAGUCAUUAAUUUUCAGGUGUUCUUCCUCGAGCUCAGCCCACCAGGCAGCCCGCACGCUCUCCAGAAGCGGACUUGUGGUCUCAAUGCUCCCAUGGUGCGGGGGGAAAGCUGGGACAGGCUUUAAGUCACUUGCCCAAGACCAGCCAAGGAGCAAGGAUUGGAGGCACGGAGCUCAAAGCUGUGUCUCUUUUGUGCCAUGCACCCUCUGCUCCAGGAGCAGGACUCGCUGGCACUGCGGGGGGACAAUCCCAAACCCCCUCGCAGACCCCACACCAGCAGCCACGGCCACCAGCGUCCUCCAGAGGAAGGGGCCCUCUCAGCAGCUCACAGCACGAGAAGCAGCAGCUCUAAAAGCAACCGACAGCUGCCGCAUAUUUAAUCUCACGCUUGGCUACAAGCUGCAGAAAUUGGCUUUCCUGUGCAACAGCAGCUGUCACCGUGCCAGCCACACCGGAGUGCCCGCAGCAUCCCCAAACCUGCAGCCAGGGCGAUCUGCUCAGCCUGACAAACCCCUCGGUUUGCUGCCUUCCAGCAGCCCGCUUGCUCUCUGA
This 1128-nucleotide long non-coding RNA is filed under the name Anas platyrhynchos platyrhynchos (common mallard). RNAcentral describes it as "lncRNA (ENSAPLG00000024923.1)". The record is from RNAcentral. Lineage: Eukaryota; Metazoa; Chordata; Aves; Anseriformes; Anatidae.